Molecule: RNA transcript, 1789 nt
Organism: Ricinus communis (castor bean)
Lineage: Eukaryota; Viridiplantae; Streptophyta; Magnoliopsida; Malpighiales; Euphorbiaceae
Gene name: N-acetyl-D-glucosamine kinase
Exons: 8
Source: RefSeq, a predicted model, not a curated record
CUUUAAUUUUUCUUUUUAAUAUUUACGAGUCCAAACAUUUCUUGAUAUAUACAAAUCAUAAAAAACAGCACCCGAUUACUGGGUUUAGUAAUGACACAUCUGAGUGAUCAUCCGGCAAACUCAGAGAGCCGAUGAUGCAAUGUGAGUGUGACCCAUCUGCGCCAAAAACAGGAAAAGUUGAAAUCAAUUUGGAAAAUAGUGUUUGGCUGAUUUGGCCGUCCGAACCCAAUACCCAAAUUUAAUUCAGAAAAAGAAAUCGUGCUUCUUUAUUAUUAACAUUAGAAACGUUGUUGUAUUGGAUGUUAGAAGAGUCUUUGAGUGUCCCUCUUCGUCAAAUUGUCACUCUCCCUCUCCCCCUGUCUUUCUGUUGGGAGUUUCAAUUUGAAAAUUUUGAUUGUUGAGAGAGAGUGAUGAAGAGGUACAGAAAUGGCGAAAUCUGGGAUUUCGAACACGAAAUUCCAGUGUCUGGGAAUAAUCCAGUGAUAUUAGGAUUGGAUGGUGGAACAACAUCAACAGUCUGCAUUUGUAUGCCAAUUCUACCCUUCUCCACUCCUCUUCCCGACCCACUUCCCGUACUUGCUCGUGCCGUCGCCGGCUGCUCUAAUCACAACAGUGUUGGCGAAACUGCUGCUAGAGAAACACUUGAGGAAGUCAUGGCUGAUGCCCUUUUAAAAUCAGGUUCCAAUCGUUCUGCAGUUCAAGCUGUUUGUCUAGCUGUUUCAGGUGUUAACCAUCCAAACGAUGUGCAAAGAAUUUUGAAUUGGCUUAGGGACAUAUUCCCCAAUCAUGUAAAGCUAUAUGUUCAAAAUGAUGCUGUGGCAGCUUUGGCAAGUGGAACAAUGGGAAAGCUUCAUGGCUGUGUUUUAAUUGCUGGUACAGGGACUAUCGCUUAUGGAUUCACUGAAGAUGGCAAAGAAGCUCGGGCUGCAGGUGCAGGACCCAUCUUAGGUGACUGGGGAAGUGGAUAUGGAAUAGCUGCACAAGCAUUAACAGCAGUGGUAAGGGCCUAUGAUGGUCGUGGUCCUCAAACAAUUCUCACAUCUAGUAUUUUGCAGACUCUUGGUCUUUCUUCUCCAGAUGAACUUAUUGGGUGGACAUAUGCAGAUCCAUCUUGGGCUCGUAUUGCAGCGCUUGUUCCAGUCGUUGUAUCUUGUGCAGAGGCUGGUGAUGAAGUAGCAAAUAAAAUCUUGCAGGUUUCUGUUGAAGAGUUGGCUUUAAGUGUGAAAGCUGUUGUUCAAAGGCUUGGCUUGUGCGGCGAAGAUGGAAAUUCUUCUUUUCCCCUAGUCAUGGUUGGUGGUGUUCUUGAGGCAAAUAAGAGGUGGGACAUAGGGAAAGAGGUUGUAAACUGCAUCUACAGAGACUACCCUGGGGCUCUUCCUAUCCGGCCAAAGGUAGAGCCUGCAGUAGGGGCAGCAUUGUUAGCCUGGAACUUUUCCAUGAAAGAGAUUCACAAGGAAGCUUACAAAAGAUGACUAUUAGUUAGCCAAGAGUUGAAUUGUACAGAGUGCAGAAAGUGGCUCCUUAAGCAUUGUUUACCUUCGAAUGGUAUAAGGGACUCGGUUGUAUUUAGGGCUGCAAACAAAUCAGUUUGUGCACAAACAGUUUGAAUAAGAACUGGUUUGGCUAGCAGAUAUUUGAUUCUCCAAACCAUUUAAUACAAACACUAGGCCAAGCUUAUUCUGUCACUACUUCAUGUGUUACUUAUGUAAGAGUUUUCCAUAAGCUCAGCAGUGGCAGUCACCCUCACAAGCAUCUCUUUGCAUUUCCUUAUGAAAAUCAAUGCAAUGUG